RNAcentral lists this non-coding RNA (109 nucleotides) under unclassified sequences. RNAcentral's name for it is "c-di-GMP sequence". It matches the Rfam family "c-di-GMP-II-GAG riboswitch aptamer". The record is from Rfam by way of RNAcentral.
GAGGUACCGGGAAGCAGUGAACUCUGAGCCACCCCACGGUCGCCUGAUGGUGCGCUGCCGCGAACCGUCAGGCUCAGAGCGAGCCAGUGGCGAGACCGCCCCGGACUGG